Non-coding RNA from Taeniopygia guttata (zebra finch), 1038 nucleotides. Lineage: Eukaryota; Metazoa; Chordata; Aves; Passeriformes; Estrildidae. The record is from RefSeq and is a predicted model, not a curated record.
GCCGGGAAACGUAGUCUCCCUUCGCGGCAGCGCGGAGGCGCGGGGCCGCGGUGGGACUGCAAGGGGCGGUCCUUGGGCGAACCCACGGGGGACCGGCGGGGGGAGCGCUGUGCCGCGCUGCGCUGACGCCUCCGCCCUUGCUGCGGAGAGGUGCGCCGCUCGCACCGUGGGUUGCAGGAUUGCAACCAGGUAACUCCCGUUCGGUAACUGCAAGAUUCACUUUGAUGAAGAACAUGACAAGAUAUCUGCAAAGGCUCACUUAUACUAGAUAUUCCUCAUGCAUGAAGAGGAGACUUAGGAAAAGAGAACAAAACAGUCCCAGAAAGCAGGUUGUUGGGAAGUGUCAGUGACCAACAUGUCCUGUGUGAAAUGAUCUUAUCACCUGCAAGUGGAAUGCUCCAAGACCUUUGCCAAACACCCCCAGAGUCUGUGGUUUUUACAGAGGUACAUGAGAACAUUUUUGCCUGAGAAAGUUUACUUUUCUACAAUAUGCAACAAAUAACGGAAAUUAAACCAGCCUUCAUUUCAAUCUCUCCAGAGGACACAGACAUGGCUUGAAGAAUGUAAAGAUUUUUUUACAAAGCCACUAAUAAACCUUGUGAUCUUCUUCUCCCAGGUAUAAUUAUUCCUUCUGAAUGCUGCCUGUAAUGCCUAAGGGAAUGAGAAGUACAGGGGUUGCUGAUGUGGUUGAACCUUCUCUUCUAUUUCACUGUUUAGCAUCUUACCUGUCCAGAAUUUAUCCCUUGAGUUAAGAAGUGUUGUUUAUUUUGAUCAUUUUUAUCCAAGUAUGUGCAGCAACUGGUAGGCAUACCUGGAUGUCUGAUAUUAACAAUAGCUUAUUCCAUUACUUUGUAUCAUCAUCUUCAUUUGUUACAAGAUAUUUCAUGAACUAUUUAAUUCUGGAUUUGCAAAUGUGAAAAGUGCUGAAUUAGAUAAAAAAGGUGCAGAGGAUUUAAUAGCCUAAACCUACCCCAAAAGAUUUCUCAGAAUGCAUCAGAAAUAUGUUCUUAAAACCAGCUGUGAUAUUCUCAUCAAACU